Molecule: ribosomal RNA, 274 nt
Filed under: uncultured bacterium
Lineage: Bacteria
Description: partial 16S ribosomal RNA
Rfam family: Bacterial small subunit ribosomal RNA
Source: RNAcentral
AUACGGAGGGUGCAAGCGUUAUCCGGAAUCAUUGGGUUUAAAGGGUCCGUAGGCGGACUAUUAAGUCAGAGGUGAAAUCCCACAGCUCAACUGUGGAACUGCCUUUGAUACUGGUAGUCUUGAGUUAUAUGGAAGUAGGUAGAAUGUGUAGUGUAGCGGUGAAAUGCAUAGAUAUUACACAGAAUACCGAUUGCGAAGGCAGUCUACUACGUAUAUACUGACGCUAAGGGACGAAAGCGUGGGGAGCGAACAGGAUUAGAUACCCCAGUAGUCC